This is a long non-coding RNA of Solanum stenotomum, 224 nucleotides long. RefSeq lists it as uncharacterized. The transcript has 2 exons. The record is from RefSeq and is a predicted model, not a curated record. NCBI's taxonomy places the organism in Eukaryota, Viridiplantae, Streptophyta, Magnoliopsida, Solanales, Solanaceae.
CUCCAUUGCCUGCAUAUCCCUAGAAUUCCAAAAGGAACAAUGUUUCGCCAUCUUCCUCGACUCUCAGCAAAUUGAGCUUAAAAGUUGAUACCACUGCUUGAAAUUCAAUAAGAUAGGUACUUUAUUAUUCUCUAAAUGUUCUUCUUUUUUGUCACUGAUGCAUCUGUUUGUAAGUUCCAAUGUCUGCUAUGUGAAUUCACUAUUAUAAUAUUAUUUUCUUGUUA